GACGAACGCUGGCGGCGUGCUUAACACAUGCAAGUCGAACGGAAAGGCCCUUCGGGGUACACGAGUGGCGAACCGGUGAGUAACACGUGGGUGAUCUGCCCUGCACUUCGGGAUAAGCCUGGGAAACUGGGUCUAAUACCGGAUAGGACCCUGGGAUGCAUGUCCUGGGGUGGAAAGCUUUUGCGGUGUGGGAUGGGCCCGCGGCCUAUCAGCUUGUUGGUGGGGUGAUGGCCUACCAAGGCGACGACGGGUAGCCGGCCUGAGAGGGUGACCGGCCGAGCUGGGACUGAGAUACGGCCCAGACUCCUACGGGAGGCAGCAGUGGGGAAUAUUGCACAAUGGGCGCAAGCCUGAUGCAGCGACGCCGCGUGAGGGAUGACGGCCUUCGGGUUGUAAACCUCUUUCAGCACCGACGAAGCGCAAGUGACGGUAGGUGCAGAAGAAGGACCGGCCAACUACGUGCCAGCCGCCGCGGUAA
RNAcentral lists this ribosomal RNA (478 nucleotides) under uncultured bacterium. RNAcentral's name for it is "partial 16S ribosomal RNA". It matches the Rfam family "Bacterial small subunit ribosomal RNA", at positions 28 to 523 of the family's 1533-position model. The record is from RNAcentral.